This 24-nucleotide non-coding RNA is filed under the name Arabidopsis thaliana (thale cress). Lineage: Eukaryota; Viridiplantae; Streptophyta; Magnoliopsida; Brassicales; Brassicaceae. The record is from RNAcentral.
ACGAUCUCAAUUUCAAUCCCCGCU